GAUGAACGCUGGCGGCGUGCUUAACACAUGCAAGUCGAACGGAAAGGCCCAAGCUUGCUUGGGUACUCGAGUGGCGAACGGGUGAGUAACACGUGGGUGAUCUGCCCUGCACUUCGGGAUAAGCCUGGGAAACUGGGUCUAAUACCGGAUAGGACCACUUCUUGGAUGUGGUGGUGGAAAGUUUUUUCGGUGUGGGAUGAGCUCGCGGCCUAUCAGCUUGUUGGUGGGGUAAUGGCCUACCAAGGCGUCGACGGGUAGCCGGCCUGAGAGGGUGUACGGCGGCAUUGGGACUGAGAGACGGCCCAGACGCCUACGGGAGGCAGCAGUGGGGAAUAUUGCACAAUGGGCGCAAGCCUGAUGCAGCGACGCCGCGUGGGGGAUGACGGCCUUCGGGUUGUAAACUCCUUUCGCUAGGGACGAAGCGUUUUGUGACGGUACCUGGAGAAGAAGCACCGGCUAACUACGUG
This 467-nucleotide ribosomal RNA is filed under the name uncultured bacterium. Its description in RNAcentral is "partial 16S ribosomal RNA". It matches the Rfam family "Bacterial small subunit ribosomal RNA", at positions 28 to 507 of the family's 1533-position model. The record is from RNAcentral.